Molecule: transfer RNA, 81 nt
Filed under: Oryctolagus cuniculus (rabbit)
Lineage: Eukaryota; Metazoa; Chordata; Mammalia; Lagomorpha; Leporidae
Rfam family: tRNA
About the family: Transfer RNA (tRNA) molecules are approximately 80 nucleotides in length.
Source: Rfam by way of RNAcentral
GGCACUGUGGCUUACAGGGUAAAGCCGCCACCUACCAUGCCAGCAUCCAUAUGGACCCUGGUUCGAGUCCUGGCUGUGCCA